RNAcentral lists this long non-coding RNA (243 nucleotides) under Trifolium pratense (red clover). RNAcentral's name for it is "long non-coding RNA (TPRA_LNC005077)". The record is from RNAcentral. Lineage: Eukaryota; Viridiplantae; Streptophyta; Magnoliopsida; Fabales; Fabaceae.
UAAUAGAAUAAUAUAUUAGUGAGGUCCUAAGUUAUGUAAAUUUAAGAUAGAGGUGAUAGAAAAUCAAGCUCUUAAAGCUAUUGGCCGAAAAUGCAUGAACUAAGUAAGAAUGAUCAUGGCUUUUAAUAGGCAAUUGUAUGAAACAAGACAUGAAGGCAAAUAAAUUAGUAUUAAGUGUUUUUCUUUGGCAACUAUGAAAUUAAACGUGUGGGAAAUGAAUUGUAAUGAUGGGCAUUAAGUGGC